AUCGGCGACAGUAACAUCCGUACCAUCCUUUGACUGGAUUUUGAUGUCACCCUUACCUUUGACACUCACCUUCGUCUUGUUGCCAAAGUUGACUUCACCCCUUCGUACUCCUCUAGCUUCGUAAACAGGUCCUUGCGUCCGCACAUAUGAUUCGGGCAACCGCUAUCAAGAAACCAAAUAUCUAAGUGAUUUUUAUUUGGUUCUCCAGCGUUGCAUGCUAGAACCAUAUUGUCACUUGUCUCUGCAACGUGCGCCUACUGCGUUCGUCUGUGUCGGUUGCCACGCGGACAUUCCCUUUUGUAAUGCCCAAAUUGUUGACACCGGUAACAUUUGACUUUGAACUUGUCAAUUUUACCAGAAGAAUUAUUUUUCCAAUUUCCUCCACCUUGCCCGCUACCUUGUCCGCCACCGCGUCCAUGGCUGUUGUUGAACAUUUGACUUUGGACUUGUCAAUUUUACUAGAAGAAUUAUUUUUCUAAUUUCCGCCACCGCGUCCAUGGCUGUUGUUGCCUUGACUGCCACCGCAAUUUCCUGGGACAUAGCUGCUUUGCAAAGGUUGUUCUUGGUUACUGCUACUCGCCGUCUGGUUCAUUCUUUACUCAUGAGAACUUAACGAACCCAACAACUAGUCUGCCGACAUAGUUGUUGUAUCUUGACCUUCUACGAUUGCAGCUACUACGUAGUUAAAUCUUGUGCUCAAAGAGCGUAAGAUUUUUUCUACCACCCUCUGCUCGUCCAACGAUUCACCGUUAGCCCGCAAUUGGUUUAUGACUGACUGCACACGGUCAAAGUAGCUUGCAACAUUUUCCGAUUCCUUCAUGCACAAGAACUCAAAAUCUGCACGGAGUGUUUGUAACUAGACCCGCUUCACUCGAUCGUCACCUUUGUAGGCUUUCUGCAGAAUAACCCAUGCUUGGUUUGNN
Molecule: long non-coding RNA, 923 nt
Filed under: Nicotiana benthamiana
Lineage: Eukaryota; Viridiplantae; Streptophyta; Magnoliopsida; Solanales; Solanaceae
Description: long non-coding RNA (NBEN_LNC033041)
Source: RNAcentral